AUUGAACGCUGGCGGCAUGCUUUACACAUGCAAGUCGAACGGUAACAGGGUGCUUGCACCGCUGACGAGUGGCGAACGGGUGAGUAAUGCGUCGGAACGUGCCGAGUAAUGGGGGAUAACGCAUCGAAAGGUGUGCUAAUACCGCAUACGCUCUGAGGAGGAAAGCUGGGGAUCGAAAGACCUGGCGUUAUUCGAGCGGCCGACGUCUGAUUAGCUAGUUGGUGAGGUAAAGGCUCACCAAGGCGACGAUCAGUAGCGGGUCUGAGAGGAUGGCCAGCCACACUGGAACUGAGACACGGUCCAGACUCCUACGGGAGGCAGCAGUGGGGAAUAUUGGACAAUGGGGGCAACCCUGAUCCAGCCAUGCCGCGUGUGUGAAGAAGGCCUCGGUGUAAGACACUUAAGUACGAGAGGAAGGUUUUAGGUUUAAGUUACUAC
This 438-nucleotide ribosomal RNA is filed under the name uncultured bacterium. Its description in RNAcentral is "bacterial SSU rRNA". It matches the Rfam family "Bacterial small subunit ribosomal RNA", at positions 30 to 473 of the family's 1533-position model. The record is from RNAcentral.